RNAcentral lists this ribosomal RNA (1080 nucleotides) under Triticum aestivum (bread wheat). RNAcentral's name for it is "partial small subunit ribosomal RNA". Lineage: Eukaryota; Viridiplantae; Streptophyta; Magnoliopsida; Poales; Poaceae. The record is from RNAcentral.
AUGAACUUAUGCCUCCUUGCUUCUUGGGCUAAAAGAUACUUUUCUGGAGAUAAUAAGAUUUGGAAACUUAUUAUUGAUGACAAGUACAGCACUAGUAAACCAAAUAUUUUUGCUUGCUCCAGCAAUGGGGCCUCCCCUCUCUGGAAAGGUAUUUUAUGGGCCAUUAAAGCCUCUAAGUUGGGGUACUCCUGGGUUGUGGGGAAUGGCAAGAAGAUUCGUUUUUGGGAGGAUGAGUGGUUUGGUAAUGCGCCACUAUCCACUCAAUUUUGGGAUCUAUAUUCUUUGGCUAAUGAUCAUAACAUUUCUAUAUAUAAAAUCUGGGAUGGGAUUGAUCUUAAGAUCACCUUUAGGAGGUGUCUAGGGGGUGAUCAAAUCUCUGACUGGAUGGACCUUGUCUCUAUUGCUAGUACUAUUACCUUUAAAGAUUGUGAGGAUACUCCAGUAUGGAAGUACAGUGCAAAUGGGCAAUAUUCAGUUAGAUCUUUUUACAACAUUGUGAACUUUAGGGGAAUCCUCCCCGUCCAUACACAGUAUGUGUGGAAGCUGAAGAUUGUCCCUAGAGUACAAAUUUUCCUUUGGCUGGUCUAUAAUAACAAGAUUUUAACCAGAGAUAAUCUUGUUAAAAGGCAGCAUGUCCCUGACAUGACCUGCAUGUUUUGCUCUGAGCCGGAAUCUUGCCAGCAUUUAUUUUUUGAAUGUGUAGUGUCGAUUGAACUCUGGAGAGUUAUUGGAGACAUGUCAGGAGUUGGCAAGGUCUCUGAUAUUGAGAAACUUGCGGCUUGGUGGGUUUCCAAUAAGAAACAUGCAGUUGUGAAUGCUUUACAUGCAGCUGUUAUGUGGUCUCUCUGGAAAAUCAGGAAUAACCUGUGUUUCAAUCGCUCUGUGUGGUCUGGAAUGCAGAAAAUAUGGAGACAGGUGGCUAUGGAGCUAGCAGCAUGGGAGGUUCUGUUCUCAAACGAUGCAAAAAUCCAGGUCUCUGCUGUGGUGAAAAACCUCGAGAAGCUUGCCAGAGAUCCUCAUAUGCUGAUGUGGCCAGACCCCCGGUUGAUCCUUUCAAGUUGCACGUGGGGGCGAAACUGA